Neopelma chrysocephalum (saffron-crested tyrant-manakin) is the source of this 337-nucleotide long non-coding RNA. RefSeq lists it as uncharacterized. Lineage: Eukaryota; Metazoa; Chordata; Aves; Passeriformes; Pipridae. The record is from RefSeq and is a predicted model, not a curated record. The transcript has 3 exons.
AGGAAGGCCUAAAAAAUCCAAAAGCCAGCCCACUACAUUCUAUCCUGAGCUCCUUCCUUCAGAUGAUGGAGCAGAUGGAGGACAAUUAAGGGAGGAGCAGUUGUCACAGGAGCAACACUGUGCAACCAGCUCUAAGAUAACAGCCACGUUACUGAAACAGACCACUGCUGGAGUAUGUCUGCAGAGUCAGGAAGUUCUCUUGUCAGGAACUCCCUCCCGCAAAUCCAGACAUGCAGAAGCUCAGCACAGGAAGUCAGGCUGUCAUGGCUCCAGGCAUUGUUAAUCAUUUUUAAAUGAUCAUUAAAAGGCAGCAGCAGCAGCAAAAGGAUGCGGCUCU